This 533-nucleotide ribosomal RNA is filed under the name uncultured bacterium. Its description in RNAcentral is "bacterial SSU rRNA". It matches the Rfam family "Bacterial small subunit ribosomal RNA", at positions 51 to 616 of the family's 1533-position model. The record is from RNAcentral.
ACACAUGCAAGUCGAACGAGAAAGUGGAGCAAUCCAUGAGUACAGUGGCGUACGGGUGAGUAACACGUGACUAACCUACCCUCGAGUGGGGAAUAACUUCGGGAAACCGAGGCUAAUACCGCAUAACAUCUACGGAUCAAAUGCGCAAGCAGCUUGAGGAGGGGGUCGCGGCUGAUUAGCUAGUUGGCGGGGUAACGGCCCACCAAGGCAAUGAUCAGUAGCCGGCCUGAGAGGGCGCACGGCCACACUGGAACUGAAACACGGUCCAGACUCCUACGGGAGGCAGCAGUGGGGAAUUUUGCGCAAUGGGGGAAACCCUGACGCAGCAACGCCGCGUGGAGGAUGAAGCCCCUUGGGGUGUAAACUCCUUUCGAUCGGGACGAUUAUGACGGUACCGGAUGAAGAAGCACCGGCUAACUCUGUGCCAGCAGCCGCGGUAAUACAGAGGGUGCAAGCGUUGUUCGGAAUUAUUGGGCGUAAAGGGUGCGUANGCGGUGCGGUAAGUCUUCUGUGAAACCUCCGGGCUUAACUCG